UGUAAAAAAAUACAGGUGUCCUUCCUAAAUCUGUUGCGGAGAAGAAGGAUACCGCUUAAGGAUUUCACCAUGAGGCCAAUGGUGACUUUAAAAACUGAGGAUAAAUUAACAACAUUGUAAUUACUAACCUAAUUGACAGAGAAAAGAAGGAAGCUUGUACAGAAUAAAAUUAUUCUAAAACAUGCAUCCUGUUUGCAAUAAGGCACUAAAGUAAAACUGCAAAAAACUUGUCUAAAAAAGUCUUUUAUGUCCUGAAUACAAAGUGUUAUGUUUGGGGAAAAACCAACACAUCACUGAAUACCCAUCGUCGUAUUUUCAAGCAUGGUUAUGGCUGCAUCAUGUUAUGGGUAUGCUUGUCAUCGGCAAGAACAACAGAGUUUUUUGGGGGGAUAAAAAUAAAUGGAAAAGAGCUAAGCACCAACAGAAUCCUAGAGGAAAACCUGGUUCUGUCUGCUUUCCAACAGAGAGGUGGCUUAUGACAAAUUCACCUUUCAGCAGGACAAUAACCUAAAACUGGAAUUGCUUUCCAAGACAUUGAAUGUUUCUGAGUGGCCUAGUUACUGUGUUGACUGCUUGAAAAUGGUUGUAUAGCAAUGAUCAACUAUCAGCUGGAAGAAUAUUUAAAAGAAUGUGCAAAUAUUGUACAAUCCAGGUGUACAAAGCCCUUGGAGACGUACUCAGAAAGACUCACAGCUGUAAAUCGCUAACAUGUAUUGACUCAGGUGUAUUGUAUUGACUCAAACCAGAAACCGUGGAUAGAUGGCAGCAUUCGCACAAAACUGAAAGCGCAAACCACCGCAUUUAACCAGGACAAGGUGACAGGGAAUAUGGCCGAAUACAAACGGUGUAGUUAUUACCCCCCAUAAGGCAACCAAAAAGGCAAAGCAUCAGUACAGAGACAAAGUAGAGUCGCAAUUCAACAGCUCAGACACGAGACGUAUGUGGCAGGGUCUACAGACAACCACGGAAUACAAAGGGAAAACCAGCCAAGUCGCUGACACUGAUGUCUUGCUUCCGGACAAGCUAAACACCUUCUUUGAGGAUAACACAGUGCCACCAACGUAGCCUGCUAACAAGAACUGUGGGCUCUCCUUCUCUGUGGCUGAUCUGUCUCCACUUGCUUCAAGAUGGCCACCAUUGUUCCUGUACCCAAGAAAGCAAAGAUCCACAGACGAUGCAAUCGCCAUCGCACUGCACACUGCCCUAUCCCAUCUGGACAAGAGGAAUACCUAUGUAAGAAUGUUGUACAUUGACUAUAGCUCAGUAUUCAACACCAUAGUACCAUUCAAGCUCAUCAUUAAGCUUGGGGCCCUGGGUCUGAACCCCACCCCGUGCAACUGGGUCCUGGACUUCCUGAUGGGCUGCCCCCGGGUGGUAAAAGUAGGAAAUAACAUCUCCACUUCGCUGACCCUCAACACUGGAGCCCCACAAGGGUGCAUGCUCAGCCCCCUCCAGGACUCCCUGUUCACCCAUGACUGCAUGGAAACGCACACCUCCAACUCAAUCAUCAAGUGUGCAGACGACACAACAGUAGUAGGCCUGAUGACCAACAAUGACGAGACGGCCUACAGGGAGGAGGUGAGGGCCCUGGGAGAAUGGUGCAAGGAAAAUAACUUCUCACUCAAUGUCAAAAAAGCAAAAGGAGCUGAUCGUGGAUUUCAGGAAACAGCAGAGGGAGCACGCCCCUAUCCACAUCGACGGGACCGUAGUGGAGAAGGUGGAAAGCUUAAGUUCCUCUGCGUACACAUCACUGACGAUCCAAAAGGGUCCACACACACAGACAGUGAGGUGAAGAAGGUGCAACAGCGCCUCUUCAACCUUAGGAGGCUAAAGAAAUUUGUAUUGGCCCCUAAAACCCUCACAAACUUUUACAAAUGCACAAUUGAGAGCAUCCUGUGGGGCUGUAUCACCACCUGAUACAACUGCAUCACCCGCAACCGCAGGGCUCACCAGAGGGUAGUGCAGUCUGCCAAACGCAUCACAGGUAACUACCUGCCCUCUAGGACACCUACAGCAUCCGAUGUCACAGGAAGGCCAAAAGGAUCAUCAAGGACAUCAACCACCCGAGCCAUGGCCUGUUCACCCCGCUGUCAUCCAGAAGGAGUGGUCAGUACAGGUGCAUUAAAGCUGGGACUGAGAGACUGAAAAACAGCUUGUAUCUCAAGGCCAUCAGACUGUUAAAUAGCCAUCACUAGCACAUUAGAGGCUGCUGCCCUAUAUACAUAUAAUUAGAAUCACUGGCCAAUUUAAUAAUGGAACACUAGUCACUUGAAUAAUGUUUACAUACUUCUUUAGUCAUCUCAUAUGUAUAUACUGUAUUCAAUUCUACUGUAUUCUACUGCCAUUCCGACAUUGAGAAAUAUAUAUUUCUUAAUUCUAUUCUUUUACUUUUAGAUUUGUGUGAAUUGUUAGAUACUGCUUCACUGUUGGAGCUAUGAACACAAGCAUUUCGCUACACCUGCAAAAACAUCUGCUGAAUGUGUAUGUGACCAAUACAAUUUGAUUUGAUUUUGUGUGAAUACUUAUGUAAAUGACAUGGUUUUUUUUGGCAAACAUUUCUAAAAACAUGCCUUCACCUUUUAACUAUGAGGUAUUGUGUGUAAAUGGGUGAGACAAAAUCUAUGUAAUCCAUUUUGAAUUCAGGCUGUAACACAACAAAAUGAGGAAUAAAUCAAGG
Molecule: long non-coding RNA, 2677 nt
Organism: Oncorhynchus tshawytscha (Chinook salmon)
Lineage: Eukaryota; Metazoa; Chordata; Actinopteri; Salmoniformes; Salmonidae
Source: Ensembl